This 266-nucleotide long non-coding RNA is filed under the name Vigna radiata. Its description in RNAcentral is "long non-coding RNA (VRAD_LNC013331)". The record is from RNAcentral. Lineage: Eukaryota; Viridiplantae; Streptophyta; Magnoliopsida; Fabales; Fabaceae.
CUGACUAUAGACGUCGGUUUCUGUAGCAACUGACGCCUCAUUUCAUGUUAAAUAAACCGCAGACUCGCAGUUUCGCGGCAUUGCAUUCCAGUUUCUGAUAACAUCAUCGUCUUCCUCCUCUCCUUUUUCUCUCUUGCGGCAUUGCAUUCCAAGUGCGUCUUUUUUUAUUUAAACCGUUUAAACUUUGUUCAGUCCGAUUAUAGUAGUCUUUCAUCAAUUAUCUUCUGGUUCAACUUAUUAAAAUUUGUUUUCCUUGUAUUGUGUUU